Molecule: ribosomal RNA, 394 nt
Filed under: Novosphingobium sp.
Lineage: Bacteria; Pseudomonadati; Pseudomonadota; Alphaproteobacteria; Sphingomonadales; Sphingomonadaceae
Description: bacterial SSU rRNA
Rfam family: Bacterial small subunit ribosomal RNA
Source: RNAcentral
AAACUUGAGAGUUUGAUCCUGGCUCAGAAUGAACGCUGGCGGCAUGCCUAACACAUGCAAGUCGAACGAAGCCUUCGGGCUUAGUGGCGCACGGGUGCGUAACGCGUGGGAAUCUGCCCCUCGGUUCGGAAUAACAGUUAGAAAUGACUGCUAAUACCGGAUGAUGACGAAAGUCCAAAGAUUUAUCGCCGAGGGAUGAGCCCGCGUAGGAUUAGCUAGUUGGUGAGGUAAAAGCUCACCAAGGCGACGAUCCUUAGCUGGUCUGAGAGGAUGAUCAGCCACACUGGGACUGAGACACGGCCCAGACUCCUACGGGAGGCAGCAGUGGGGAAUAUUGGACAAUGGGCGAAAGCCUGAUCCAGCAAUGCCGCGUGAGUGAUGAAGGCCUUAGGGU